AGGACCACGGAAUAAUGAGACACACUGCCCUAGAGCAAGGGGCCAGGGCACUGAUGCGAAGUGGCUCAGCUGGAAAGGGUAAAUGGUGAUGACAGCAAGACUGCAUAAAGCAGAAGAUGAGGGGGAAAACCGGCUCAGCCGUGACUUGGGGCAUCCACAGAUCGAACUAUUGAGGAAUCUAGACAGAGGGCAGCACUCAGGAGCCCGGCUGUGGGAGUUGAUCCCAGGAGAGCUUUCAAAUGUGGGAAGUGUGAGAGCUGCCAAAGCUUCUGACAUACUUUGUUCUGAUCAGCUCGUGAACUGGAACGAGUCCAAGCCUGCAGCUGGACCCACGACUACAUCAGAUGCUGAGAGCAGAGGAGAAAGCAAAGGAGCUAUUUGGCAGCUAAGGACAUUCUUCUGCAUGCUGCACUGCUGGUGGAAAAUAUGGAAGAGAUGCCCAUGACUGUCAGCUAUGGCCUUAAGACCCCGGAGAUUCAGUUCUCUGAUGAGAAGUCGCUUUGAGUCUGUGAAACGUUACACCAGGCAUCUGCUGAAUUUGAAGGGAGUAGCAAGUGGUGACAGAAUAACCAGUUGUCAGUGAUCUGUAUCAGUUGUGCAAAUGCCAGAAAAAUAAUUUCAAGGUGAUUUCCCAGGUAUUUGUAAUAGAUCAUAAAUAAAAAAGGCUACUGGCUAGUAACAUCCUGCAUUCCACCUUGAAUUUCUAGAGUAGUCCUUGGAUUGCAAAUAUAAACGUUCUCAAAAAUAUAAAUAUGACUACUUUAACAAUCCAGCAACGAAUGGACAAAUAUAAUUUGAACUCCCACAAUUACCUCUUACUCUUUAAAUGUUCUCCAAGGGAAGCUCUAAAUUAAAUGAGAAGUCAAUUUUAAAAUGUAGAAAUGGAGUAAGGGAUGAAUUCUCCAUUUUUUUUUAUCAGACAUUUGCAGCGUUAGGCUAUCCCACUACACUGUAGGAUUCA
This 961-nucleotide long non-coding RNA is filed under the name Equus asinus (donkey). RNAcentral's name for it is "lncRNA (ENSEASG00005029676.1)". The record is from RNAcentral. Lineage: Eukaryota; Metazoa; Chordata; Mammalia; Perissodactyla; Equidae.